Molecule: ribosomal RNA, 425 nt
Filed under: uncultured bacterium
Lineage: Bacteria
Description: partial 16S ribosomal RNA
Rfam family: Bacterial small subunit ribosomal RNA
Source: RNAcentral
GUGGGGAAUCUUGCGCAAUGGGCGAAAGCCUGACGCAGCCAUGCCGCGUGAAUGAUGAAGGUCUUAGGAUUGUAAAAUUCUUUCACCGGGGACGAUAAUGACGGUACCCGGAGAAGAAGCCCCGGCUAACUUCGUGCCAGCAGCCGCGGUAAUACGAAGGGGGCUAGCGUUGCUCGGAAUUACUGGGCGUAAAGGGAGCGUAGGCGGACAGUUUAGUCAGAGGUGAAAGCCCAGGGCUCAACCUUGGAAUUGCCUUUGAUACUGGCUGUCUUGAGUUUGGGAGAGGUGUGUGGAACUCCGAGUGUAGAGGUGAAAUUCGUAGAUAUUCGGAAGAACACCAGUGGCGAAGGCGACACACUGGCCCAAUACUGACGCUGAGGCUCGAAAGCGUGGGGAGCAAACAGGAUUAGAUACCCCGGUAGUCC